This 664-nucleotide ribosomal RNA is filed under the name uncultured prokaryote. RNAcentral describes it as "bacterial SSU rRNA". It matches the Rfam family "Bacterial small subunit ribosomal RNA", at positions 28 to 710 of the family's 1533-position model. The record is from RNAcentral.
GAUGAACGCUGACAGAAUGCUUAACACAUGCAAGUCGAUUCAACUUACCUUCGGGUAUUGAGGAUGGCGGACGGGUGAGUAACGCGUAAGGAACUUGCCUCUUGGUCUGGGACAACUGUUGGAAACGACAGCUAAUACCGGAUAUUAUGAGAUUCUCGCAUGGGAAACUUAUGAAAGCUAUAUGCGCCAAGAGAGAGCCUUGCGUUCCAUUAGCUAGUUGGUGGGGUAACGGCCCACCAAGGCGACGAUGGAUAGCCGGCCUGAGAGGGUGAACGGCCACAAGGGGACUGAGACACGGCCCUUACUCCUACGGGAGGCAGCAGUGGGGAAUAUUGGACAAUGGGCCACAAGCCUGAUCCAGCAAUUCUGUGUGCACGAUGAAGGUCUUCGGAUUGUAAAGUGCUUUCAGUUGGGAAGAAGAAAGUGACGGUACCAACAGAAGAAGCGACGGCUAAAUACGUGCCAGCAGCCGCGGUAAUACGUAUGUCGCAAGCGUUAUCCGGAUUUAUUGGGCGUAAAGCGCGUCUAGGCGGAAAAAUAAGUCUGAUGUUAAAAUGCGGGGCUCAACUCCGUAUUGCGUUGGAAACUGUUUUUCUAGAGUACUGGAGAGGUGGGCGGAACUACNAGUGUAGAGGUGAAAUUCGUAGAUAUUUGUAGGAAUGCC